This 917-nucleotide ribosomal RNA is filed under the name uncultured bacterium. RNAcentral describes it as "bacterial SSU rRNA". It matches the Rfam family "Bacterial small subunit ribosomal RNA", at positions 8 to 916 of the family's 1533-position model. The record is from RNAcentral.
AGAGUUUGAUCAUGGCUCAGGAUGAACGCUAGCUACAGGCAUAACACAUGCAAGUCGAGGGGCAGCAUUUUAGUUUGCUUGCAAACUGAAGAUGGCGACCGGCGCACGGGUGAGUAACACGUAUCCAACCUGCCGAUAACUCCGGAAUAGCCUUUCGAAAGAAAGAUUAAUACCGGAUAGUAUACGAAUAUCGCAUGAUAUUUUUAUUAAAGAAUUUCGGUUAUCGAUGGGGAUGCGUUCCAUUAGUUUGUUGGCGGGGUAACGGCCCACCAAGACUACGAUGGAUAGGGGUUCUGAGAGGAAGGUCCCCCACAUUGGAACUGAGACACGGUCCAAACUCCUACGGGAGGCAGCAGUGAGGAAUAUUGGUCAAUGGGCGAGAGCCUGAACCAGCCAAGUAGCGUGAAGGAUGACUACCCUAUGGGUUGUAAACUUCUUUUAUAUGGGAAUAAAGUUUUCCACGUGUGGAAUUUUGUAUGUACCAUAUGAAUAAGGAUCGGCUAACUCCGUGCCAGCAGCCGUGGUAAUACGGAGGAUCCGAGCGUUAUCCGGAUUUAUUGGGUUUAAAGGGAGCGUAGGCUGCCGGUUAAGUGUGUUGUGAAAUGCAGGCGCUCAACGUCUGCCUUGCAGCGCAUACUGUCCGGCUUGAGUACGCACAACGUUGGCGGAAUUCGUCGUGUAGCGGUGAAAUGCUUAGAUAUGACGAAGAACUCCGAUUGCGAAGGCAGCUGACGGGAGCGUUACUGACGCUGAAGCUCGAAAGUGCGGGUAUCGAACAGGAUUAGAUACCCUGGUGGUCCGCACGGUAAACGAUGGAUGCCCGCUGUUUGUCCUCAAGGAUAAGCGGCCAAGCGAAAGCAUUAGCAUCCCACCUGGGGGAGUACGCCGGGCACGGUGAAACUCAAGGGAUUUGACGG